Molecule: long non-coding RNA, 946 nt
Organism: Olea europaea var. sylvestris
Lineage: Eukaryota; Viridiplantae; Streptophyta; Magnoliopsida; Lamiales; Oleaceae
Exons: 2
Source: RefSeq, a predicted model, not a curated record
AAUUGGUGCCCCUAUAAUGGUGAGGUUCUGUGCGGUCGCUCAACUCGCGUGCCCUCAGGGCCGCCUCUGUGUGGGGAUAGGAGCUUGCAUCAAUCACUGGCAAGUCAAAGCAAAAUUUAUUUUUGAUUCACAAUCUGACUUUGUCAAAUUUGUUUCUGUUUGUGCAUGUGCCUGCCUGCAUUCGUUGUCUAUCACAUAAAAUGCAAUAUGAAGAUUCAUAGUUACCUAAGUUGCACAGACACAUGCAUGGACAGCGACAUUUAACUAUUGGAAAGGUAGGACAUGACGCAUUGGAGACAAGUCGAUUUUGAAUUCUUUGAAAUUUAAAAUUUAUAUAUAGUAUCUUUAUUUUUAUAUAGGACACGACCACAUGACAUAUCGAAAACUUACUCAGGGAUGUCUCUAAAGUAUCCAUUUAGUGUCGAUAAUUUAAAAAUUAUAUAAAAAAUGGGACAAGGGCAUGUAUUGGCUACAUUUUCUCGAGUAGUGUCUGACUGUUGAGGUGCUCGUAAGUUGGUCCGGACAUCCAUGGUUAUAAAAAAUAUAUAUAUAAUAACAUGCUUGAAACAAUUUUCAUCAAGACUCUCUCCUGGUAAUUUUUCGUCAUUAAAAGAAAUCGAUCCAAGACCAGCCCCGUGAUUUCCUACUCUUUUCUGCAGCCAAGAGGUCAAAAAUUUAGCAGCCACGAAGAGUAAAGUAGUGCAGAGGAACCAUAGUGUUACUCCUGUGAAGAAACCAGUUGUUAGUCCCAGAUUUGCAGCUUCUUCAUCCUCCAAAACUCGCUAAGCCACUGUAAACGAGACUCGACAUGGCCUCAAUGAAUCUUUGACUCUCUAUUUUGAGUAAGCAAUGUUGUAAAAUUAUGUACUUACAAGCAUUAGAACACAAUAUAUAUUUCAGUACAAUUGUUCCUCUGUUUAUACACCAUUGUCUCCACUUUCUUUGA